Molecule: ribosomal RNA, 390 nt
Filed under: uncultured Methanosaeta sp.
Lineage: Archaea; Methanobacteriati; Methanobacteriota; Methanomicrobia; Methanotrichales; Methanotrichaceae
Description: bacterial SSU rRNA
Rfam family: Archaeal small subunit ribosomal RNA
Source: RNAcentral
GGUCAGGCUGAAGACCUUUACCGGGAUUUAGCUGAGAGGUGGUGCAUGGCCGUCGUCAGUUCGUACUGUGAAGCAUCCUGUUAAGUCAGGCAACGAGCGAGACCCACGUCCACAGUUGCCAGCAUACCCUCCGGGGUGAUGGGUACACUGUGGAGACCGCCGCUGCUAAAGCGGAGGAAGGAAUGGGCAACGGUAGGUCAGUAUGCCCCGAAUCUCCCGGGCUACACGCGGGCUACAAUGGUUGGUACAAUGGGCAUCUACCCCGAAAGGGGAAGGAAAUCUCUUAAAGCCAAUCGUAGUUCGGAUUGAGGGCUGCAACUCGCCCUCAUGAAGCUGGAAUCCGUAGUAAUCGCGCUUCAACAGAACGCGGUGAAUACGUCCCUGCUCCUU